This 253-nucleotide ribosomal RNA is filed under the name uncultured bacterium. RNAcentral describes it as "partial 16S ribosomal RNA". It matches the Rfam family "Bacterial small subunit ribosomal RNA", at positions 524 to 776 of the family's 1533-position model. The record is from RNAcentral.
UACAGAGGGGGCAAGCGUUGUUCGGAAUUACUGGGCGUAAAGCGCGUGUAGGCGGUUGCCCAAGUCCGGUGUGAAAGCCUUGAGCUUAACUCAAGAAAUGCACUUGAUACUGGGCGACUAGAGGACCGGAGAGGAUAGUGGAAUUCCCAGUGUAGUGGUGAAAUACGUAGAGAUUGGGAAGAACACCAGUGGCGAAGGCGGCUAUCUGGACGGUUACUGACGCUAAGACGCGAAAGCGUGGGGAGCAAACAGG